GACUCCAAGAGCUACGUUUCUACCGAUCGAUUUUCCGUUUCAUCCAACCGGUGAUUCUCACACUUUGGGUUCAAAGUACUUGGUCUACGAUCAUUCCUUGAGUUGGCCGUGCACCCUAGAGUAGGUGAUGAGGUACCCUUGGAGCAGGCGUGGGAGACUAAGGAAGAUCCAGCCCCUAGUACUUAGAGCGGUUAUUACUUCUUAUUUCUAUAGCUUGUUAAUUUUUGGAAACACUCUCUAGGCAUCCUUCGAUCUUUAAUUUAUUUUGUAUUUUGGAGAACUUUGGGGAACUUGUACUCAAGUUUUAUUUCGUUUUAAU
Long non-coding RNA from Vigna radiata var. radiata (mung bean), 319 nucleotides. RefSeq lists it as uncharacterized. The transcript has 3 exons. NCBI's taxonomy places the organism in Eukaryota, Viridiplantae, Streptophyta, Magnoliopsida, Fabales, Fabaceae. The record is from RefSeq and is a predicted model, not a curated record.